GCGUAAUUAGCUCAGAUGGUAGAGCGCUAUCCUUCCAAGUUAGUGGUCAUCGGUUCGAAUCCGAUAUUACGCU
The sequence is a transfer RNA, 73 nucleotides long. It matches the Rfam family "tRNA". Rfam says of the family: Transfer RNA (tRNA) molecules are approximately 80 nucleotides in length. The record is from Rfam.